RNAcentral lists this non-coding RNA (181 nucleotides) under Candidatus Thiothrix sulfatifontis. RNAcentral's name for it is "6S RNA". It matches the Rfam family "6S / SsrS RNA". From Rfam's summary of the family: E. coli 6S RNA was the first non coding RNA to be sequenced, but its function was unknown until recently. The record is from RNAcentral. Lineage: Bacteria; Pseudomonadati; Pseudomonadota; Gammaproteobacteria; Thiotrichales; Thiotrichaceae.
GCACCUCUGGGGGACUCGUGAGAAGAUGGGUAUUAUCCUUGAGCCUAAUUUCUUACCCCGGGAGUGGUUGUAAUGAUUUGGUGUGCACGACCGCUCGACGGUAAGCCUGAAAAACAUUCGCCGCACCCACUUGAACCAUUGGUUCAAGGUCGAAGUCUUCCACGAUUUUCUGGAGCGUGCU